AGAAUCAACGCUGGCGGCGUGCCUAACACAUGCAAGUCGAACGCGGUUACUACUGCUUCGCAAGAAGUAGUAGUGACUGAGUGGCGAACGGGUGAGUAACACGUGGGUGACCUGCCUUCGAGUGGGGGAUAACGUUCCGAAAGGGACGCUAAUACCGCAUGACAUCCUGCCUUUGAAGAGGUGGAUAUUAAAGCUGGGGAUCGUAAGACCUGGCGCUUGAAGAGGGGCCCGCGUCCGAUUAGCUAGUUGGUGGGGUAACGCCUACCAAGGCGACGAUCGGUA
This 282-nucleotide ribosomal RNA is filed under the name uncultured soil bacterium. Its description in RNAcentral is "partial 16S ribosomal RNA". It matches the Rfam family "Bacterial small subunit ribosomal RNA", at positions 26 to 285 of the family's 1533-position model. The record is from RNAcentral.